GCAAUUAAGAUCUCAACAUAUCUUCUAGGAGGACACAACCCAACCCAAUACAGAAGCGUAGUAAGUGUUACUACACAGAGGAACUAACGUGGAAAUAUGCCAGUGGAAAGAAGGGGGGAUCUAAGUUAGCUGCCCCACAUCUGUCACAGCGGAAAGCCAAGAGACAAAGACUGCAGUUGGUAAAGCGAGAAGCGAUGGUAGAAACUCACUCUUGCAUGAAGGUAUUCGAAGUGGUUCUUUUAUGAAGCCAGUCUAAGCACUUCAGUAAUAAAAAGAGGAAGAACAAACAGUCCCAACCCUGCGAAGAUGCUGUAUGGAGGUCAGGCUGCCCAACAGGCUGGAAGAGGCACAGCACGAAUGCUGCAGAUAAGGAAAUUGAGGCUCAAGUUUUUCACUAACUCCCCCAAUGUCACAAGACAAAGCAAUCGAUCAGGGUUUCAAAGCAAUAACCACUUGUCUGGUUCAGCAUCUCCACAGAAACUGCUCCAGUGCUGGGCUCAUCCAAUCAGAGGCCCUCUUGCCACAUUGAACGCUACCCUAGGAGUGACAUGAAAGCCAUUUCCUGUGUUUUCCACAGGAGGGCAGAUGCCCUUCCUCCACCAGCCAAGGUGACCUCACUCAAGUUGCUCGCUGAACCUGCCCUGGCAUCCGUCUCACCGAGCCCCGUCAAAGGCUCAAACACUUGACUCACCUAGCCCGUCAGUCCUCUACCUUUUGGGCUGUUCUGGAAUGGAGCUCAGGAACAAAGUAACGACCUCGCCCCCCCUUACCCAGGUCACCUUUCCUUGUUCCAAGC
RNAcentral lists this long non-coding RNA (796 nucleotides) under Equus caballus (horse). Its description in RNAcentral is "lncRNA (ENSECAG00000052170.1)". The record is from RNAcentral. Lineage: Eukaryota; Metazoa; Chordata; Mammalia; Perissodactyla; Equidae.